GCCUGGCUAGCUCAAUCGGUAGAGCGUGAGACUCUUAUGGAGAUUCUCCGUUAUCUCAAGGUUGCGGGUUCGACCCCCGCGUUAGGCU
This is a transfer RNA of 88 nucleotides. It matches the Rfam family "tRNA". From Rfam's summary of the family: Transfer RNA (tRNA) molecules are approximately 80 nucleotides in length. Their secondary structure includes four short double-helical elements and three loops (D, anti-codon, and T loops). Further hydrogen bonds mediate the characteristic L-shaped molecular structure. tRNAs have two regions of fundamental functional importance: the anti-codon, which is responsible for specific mRNA codon recognition, and the 3' end, to which the tRNAs corresponding amino acid is attached (by aminoacyl-tRNA synthetases). tRNAs cope with the degeneracy of the genetic code in two manners: having more than one tRNA (with a specific anti-codon) for a particular amino acid; and 'wobble' base-pairing, i.e. permitting non-standard base-pairing at the 3rd anti-codon position. The record is from Rfam.